AAAAUACCCCCUCCGUUCCAAAUUACUCGUCGCAGAAAUGGAUGUAUCUAGAACUAAAAUACAUCUAGAUACAUUCAUACCUGCAACAAGUAAUUCGGAAUGGAGGGAGUAGUAU
This is a non-coding RNA of Triticum urartu, 115 nucleotides long. The record is from Rfam. Lineage: Eukaryota; Viridiplantae; Streptophyta; Magnoliopsida; Poales; Poaceae.